AUUUUGGACAAUGGGGGAAACCCUGAUCCAGCCAUCCCGCGUGUAUGAUGAAGGCCUNNNGGUUGNAAAGUACUUUUGGCAGANAAGNACAGGUACCUCCUAAUACGAGGUACUGCUGACGGUAUCUGCAGAAUAAGCACCGGCUAACUACGUUCCAGCAGCCGCGGUAAUACGUAUGUUGCAAGAGUUAAUCUGAAUUACUUGGCGUAAAGCGUGUGUAGGCGGUUCGGAAAGAAAGAUGUGAAAUCCCAGGGCUCAACCUUGGAACUGCAUUUUUAACUGCCGAGCUAGAGUAUGUCAGAGGGGGGUAGAAUUCCACGUGUAGCAGUGAAAUGCGUAGAUAUGUGGAGGAAUACCGAUGGCGAAGGCAGCCCCCUGGGAUAAUACUGACGCUCAGACACGAAAGCGUGGGGAGCAAACA
RNAcentral lists this ribosomal RNA (421 nucleotides) under uncultured bacterium. Its description in RNAcentral is "partial 16S ribosomal RNA". It matches the Rfam family "Bacterial small subunit ribosomal RNA", at positions 361 to 774 of the family's 1533-position model. The record is from RNAcentral.